RNAcentral lists this ribosomal RNA (301 nucleotides) under uncultured bacterium. RNAcentral describes it as "partial 16S ribosomal RNA". It matches the Rfam family "Bacterial small subunit ribosomal RNA", at positions 509 to 807 of the family's 1533-position model. The record is from RNAcentral.
CAGUCGCCGCGGUAAUACAGAGGGUGCGAGCGUUAAUCGGAUUUACUGGGCGUAAAGCGUGCGUAGGCGGCUUUUUAAGUCGGAUGUAAAAUCCCUGAGCUUAACUUAGGAAUUGCAUUCGAUACUGGGAAGCUAGAGUAUGGGAGAGGAUGGUAGAAUUCCAGGUGUAGCGGUGAAAUGCGUAGAGAUCUGGAGGAAUACCGAUGGCGAAGGCAGCCAUCUGGCCUAAUACUGACGCUGAGGUACGAAAGCAUGGGGAGCAAACAGGAUUAGAUACCCGCGUAGUCCCUGUCUCUUAUAC